Non-coding RNA from Schistosoma rodhaini, 48 nucleotides. The record is from Rfam. Lineage: Eukaryota; Metazoa; Platyhelminthes; Trematoda; Strigeidida; Schistosomatidae.
AUCCAGCUGACGAAUCCCAAAUAAGACGAAACUCGCAUCAAACUGGAU